Molecule: ribosomal RNA, 474 nt
Filed under: uncultured bacterium
Lineage: Bacteria
Description: bacterial SSU rRNA
Rfam family: Bacterial small subunit ribosomal RNA
Source: RNAcentral
AUGCAAGUCGAACGGCAAGAGGUAGCAAUACCUCCUAGAGUGGCGGACUGGUGAGUAACACGUGGGUGACAUACCCUUCAGAUGGGGAUAGCUAUUAGAAAUAGUAGAUAAUACCGAAUACGAGCACAGGGGUUAGAGAUCUGUGAGGAAAGGAGCUAAGGCUCCGCUGAAGGAAUGGCCUGCGGCCCAUUAGCUAGUUGGUGAGGUAAGAGCCCACCAAGGCGAUGAUGGGUAUCCGGCCUUAGAGGGUGAACGGACACAUUGGGACUGAGAUACGGCCCAGACUCCUACGGGAGGCAGCAGCUAAGAAUAUUCCGCAAUGGACGAAAGUCUGACGGAGCGACGCCGCGUGGAUGAAGAAGGCCGGAAGGUUGUAAAAUCCUUUUGAAACUGAAGAAUAAGCGUUGUAGGGAAUGACAGCGUGGUGACAGUAGGUUUUGAAUAAGCAACGGCUAAUUACGUGCCAGCCGCCGC